UGAGGAAUAUUGGACAAUGGGUGAGAGCCUGAUCCAGCCAUCCCGCGUGAAGGAUGACGGUCCUAUGGAUUGUAAACUUCUUUUGUAUAGGGAUAAACCUACUCUCGUGAGAGUAGCUGAAGGUACUAUACGAAUAAGCACCGGCUAACUCCGUGCCAGCAGCCGCGGUAAUACGGAGGGUGCAAGCGUUAUCCGGAUUUAUUGGGUUUAAAGGGUCCGUAGGCGGACCGAUAAGUCAGUGGUGAAAUCUCAUAGCUUAACUAUGAAACUGCCGUUGAUACUGUCGGUCUUGAGUAAAUUUGAAGUGGCUGGAAUAAGUAGUGUAGCGGUGAAAUGCAUAGAUAUUACUUAGAACACCAAUUGCGAAGGCAGGUCACUAAGAUUUAACUGACGCUGAGGGACGAAAGCGUGGGGAGCGAACAG
Molecule: ribosomal RNA, 423 nt
Filed under: uncultured bacterium
Lineage: Bacteria
Description: bacterial SSU rRNA
Rfam family: Bacterial small subunit ribosomal RNA
Source: RNAcentral